Long non-coding RNA from Lolium rigidum, 329 nucleotides. RefSeq lists it as uncharacterized. Lineage: Eukaryota; Viridiplantae; Streptophyta; Magnoliopsida; Poales; Poaceae. The record is from RefSeq and is a predicted model, not a curated record. The transcript is spliced from 3 exons.
UGGAGGAGGUGCCUGAUUGUCCUCACAGGAGCUACAUCAACCCUAUGGAGACUGUGCCCUUGGAACUGGAUUGGCCCUCGAUUUUCGCUUCUCGGCUUGAUACAAGGAAACAGACGAUGGAAAACAAUGUGACGUAUCCACAACCUGGGUGGGAACAAAUGUAUCUUCGGAGAAUCCAAGGAUGGAAUAAAAAAGUGGAUAUCCUGAUGCGUGAUAACAAAAAUAUCUUCAAGGAAAGGCGUAUUUAAGGUUCUUGAUCGACAGUCGUCAUGAUGCAUUUGCUGGUUGGGUUGAUGCUAAGGUUGGAUCCUUAAUUAGCUUGAACAGGG